UACGUAGGGUGCGAGCGUUAAUCGGAAUUACUGGGCGUAAAGGGCUCGUAGGCGGCCAACUAAGUCAUACGUGAAAUCCCUCAGCUUAACUGGGGAACUGCGUGUGAUACUGGAUGGCUUGGAUUUGGGAGAGGGAUGCGGAAUUCCAGGUGUAGCGGUGAAAUGCGUAGAUAUGUGGAGGAACACCGAUGGCGAAGGCAGCCCCCUGGGAUGUGACUGACGCUCAUGUACGAAAGCGUGGGGAGCAAACAGG
RNAcentral lists this ribosomal RNA (253 nucleotides) under uncultured bacterium. RNAcentral's name for it is "partial 16S ribosomal RNA". It matches the Rfam family "Bacterial small subunit ribosomal RNA", at positions 524 to 776 of the family's 1533-position model. The record is from RNAcentral.